Molecule: ribosomal RNA, 440 nt
Filed under: uncultured bacterium
Lineage: Bacteria
Description: partial 16S ribosomal RNA
Rfam family: Bacterial small subunit ribosomal RNA
Source: RNAcentral
CCUACGGGAGGCAGCAGUAGGGAAUAUUGCUCAAUGGGGGAAACCCUGAACCAGCAACGCCGCGUGGAGGAUGAAGGUUUUCGGAUUGUAAACCCCCUUUGUUAGAGAAGAUAAUGACGGUAUCUAACGAAUAAGCACCGGCUAACUCCGUGCCAGCAGCCGCGGUAAGACGGCGGGUGCAAGCGUUACCCGGAAUCACUGGGCGUAAAGAGCGCGUAGGCGGGAUAGAAAGUCAGAUGUGAAAUCCUAUGGCGUAACCAUAGAACUGCAGUUGAAACUGUUAUUCUAGAGUAUGGGAGAGGUAGGUGGAAUUCUUGGUGUAGGGGUAAAAUGCGUAGAGAUCAAGAAGAAUACUGAUUGCGAAGGCGGCCUGCUGGAACGUAACUGACGCUGAGGCGCGAAGGCGUGGGGAGCGAACAGGAUUAGAUACCCUUGUAGUC